Molecule: non-coding RNA, 75 nt
Organism: Trichonephila clavipes
Lineage: Eukaryota; Metazoa; Arthropoda; Arachnida; Araneae; Nephilidae
Source: the annotation of a GenBank genome assembly
GGCGUUAAUAUAGCUCAGUGGUAGAGCAUUCGACUGCUGAUCGAGAUGUCCCCGGUUCAAAUUCGGGUAUCCUCU